RNAcentral lists this non-coding RNA (46 nucleotides) under Schistosoma curassoni. Lineage: Eukaryota; Metazoa; Platyhelminthes; Trematoda; Strigeidida; Schistosomatidae. The record is from RNAcentral.
GCACUGCUGAAGAGUCCCACAACAGGACGAAACGACUGACCAGUGC